GCUAAUGCUGAAGCCUGUGUUGGUAGGGACAUCUGAGAGCGCGGAUGAAUGCCGAUGGCUCUGAUGGA
Molecule: small nucleolar RNA, 68 nt
Filed under: Chinchilla lanigera (long-tailed chinchilla)
Lineage: Eukaryota; Metazoa; Chordata; Mammalia; Rodentia; Chinchillidae
Description: Small nucleolar RNA SNORD74 (ENSCLAG00000020052.1)
Rfam family: Small nucleolar RNA SNORD74
About the family: Z18 also identified as U74 (SNORD74) belongs to the C/D class of snoRNA which contain the C (UGAUGA) and D (CUGA) box motifs. Most of the members of the box C/D family function in directing site-specific 2'-O-methylation of substrate RNAs.
Source: RNAcentral